CCCAUUUGUUUUGCGACUUAUGAAAUGCCGGCGUAUAUAUAUUUUCAACAUUUGACGUAACCCUGUAUGUUUUGCAGCACCCAGUCAACUGCCAGAAGUGACUCAAACACAGGCCACCAGUGGCACUCGGCUGUACCACUGCAGUGCUGCGGAAAUUGCCAGCACCAGCGGCUUUGCAACAGCUGUUUCACAGCAUGUCGGAGACAAUGCCUACGAAAUUAUAGGCCCUGAUGACGAGAGCCCUCAAGGGGCAAACGACAUCUCUGUUGCAGAAGUGAGCCCGAUACCACCUGAAGUUACCAUGACAGAUGACAUGGCAGCAAUAGAUACAGAGACUGCCAUGUCUACUGCAGCUGCAACAGUGUACGAGGCAAGCAGCAGCGCGUCAGCAUCAGCAGCAGUGUCAGAAGGAACCCUACCAGGCCUGGUAGAGCAACAUGUGUGCUAUCACUGACUUUUUUUUGUAGUGCAUACAACUCAUUUGCUCAACAUACAAAAGCUUUUCACCACGACUGUGAGCCAGUGUUUUUGUGCAGCAAGUGCAAGACUAAGUUAGAUGUUAUAACACAGUACAAGCAUCACUUUAAAAUAUGCAAAUGCAAACAUAUUACAGUUGUUGCCUCCCCAGCCAGCCCACAUAGCGCAAUGUGGAACACAUGGUGGGACACACCUCUCCCUCUAUUAGAAGAUAGUAGAGACUGUCAGUGUUGCUGCUAGAUUGACUGGUCUUUGUAGGCAACUAGAAGGACAACACAGGUGUCAUAAGAUUGUUGUUGUUGUUGUUGUUGAAGAGGUAAAAAAGAAGUUUGAUGCAGCUGAAGUGCGAACUGAUACUGAGUGCAAUCAAAAGCAACCACCUGAGAAAGCAACACUCGAAAUUUGGUUAUCUAUGUGCCGCCAACUCUGGUAAGGAUGGCAUAGGACAGAAGUGUGAUGAAAAUCACACAGAUACUGCUGUUGCAUCACUGGCCACAGUGAGCAGUGACUUGUAGGGCAAGAGAGUCAACUGAAAGGAACAUUUUGACAGUGUCAUGCUCCCAUGUGACCACUUUCCAUGUUAUUUUGCAUGAUACAGCUCAACCUCCAGAAACAAGACUGCAACUUGUCUGUAAAAAAGCUUUCACGAAAAAUUAUUCAUAAGACUAUUAACAUUGCAGUAUCUUUCUUUUGUGUGGUUUCAAGGUUCCCGGGUGUCCAUUAAUGCAAAAAUUGAGGAAAAAAAGAAAGUGUCGUACUUACACCUUUUUAACAAGUACGAGGGGGACAACUUUUCUAGUCUUGCAUCAUCAUACUAUCAAGUUUUUAAAUGCCUUUUAUAAUUAUUAUUACCAGUUAUAUCUGAGUGCAUUGUAUGCAUGUAGCAGGUGUAAAAUCAGGUCAGUUGGAUCAGAUUCCUUAUCUGCAAGAGAGCCCUAUAUUCAAGACAUUUGAAUUAAAAUAGGUACGUUAGAGACGCAGUCUUUCAGAGCUUUAUUGCCUGUGGUUUAAGCAUUGCUCAAUACUUUUGUGGAUGGCAGUUUCAACCGGCAGAGCACUGCGCUUUGUCAGUCACAUGUCUUCAAAGCGGUGUUUACCAUUUGUGUUGAUCUGUUUGUGUAUGCAUAGAGCAAGUCUUUAAUUUACUUUUUUCUGCAUUCUUGUGCUUGCACUAAGCUUGUAUAAGGCAGUUACAAAAUGUGCGUCACUAUAACGAACUGUUCUGUUGAGCUUACACUUGCAAAUAAUAGUGUUCAGAUGGCCGCACUUCUAUGUAGGUGCACCGCUAGCUUUGAGCAUGUUCUCAUGUUUGUAUAAAGCUUAUAUAAGCUAGUUACAAAAUGUGUCACUAAGCAUUGUGAUAUUCUUUAAAGAACUGCUUGGUUGGUUUUACACUUGUGAAUUAGCAUUGAGGCAGUGGUAUUCCCAUGUAGGCCCACUGCUAGCUUUCUGUGUCCUCACAUGUUUGUAUUAAGCUUUUACAAGGGAGUUACAGCAUGUACGUCACUAAGCACUGUGAUAUUUUUCAAAGAACUGCUUUGUUGGUUUUACACCUGUGAGUAAUAGUACUCGGGUGGCACUAGUCAUAUAUAGGUACACGGGGACCAUUUGUAUACAUUAUGCUCAUGUAAAGCAGUUACAAAGCGUAUGUCACUAAUCACUGUGAUAUUUGUUGAAUUGCUGUGAUGGUUCCCUCUGCUUGGAAAGAGGCCAUCAUAAUUCCUAUAUUGAAAUCGGGUAAGGACCCUUCUUUAGCAAAUAGUUAUAGGCCUAUAGCAUUGACGAGCUGCUUAUGCAAAGUUUUUGAGAAGAUAGUAAACAGUCGCCUGGUACAUUAUCUAGAAAUUAACAACAAAUUAGAUCCAUAUCAAUGUGGCUUUAGAGAAGGCAGAUUGACGACAGAUCAGCUUGUACGCAUGGAAAUGUACAUCAGGGAAGCGUUUGUCCACAAACAGCUUGUGUUAUCAGUGUUUCUAGAUAUGGAGAAGGCGUAUGAUACUAUGUGGCGCUUCGGGAUCCUUCGGGAUCUUUCUGCAAUGGGCAUUUGCGGCAACCUGCUGAGAAUAAUUGAAAGCUAUCUCUCUGACAGGACAUUUCGUGUUAGAGUUGGCAACGUAUAGUCCCGACCAUUUUUACAGGAGACAGGUGUACUGCAGGGUGGAGUACUGAGCUGUACGUUAUUUAUUGUUAAAAUGAACUCCCUCCACACUGUAUUGCCUCGCACACUCUUCUACUCUGUCUAUGUGGACGAUGUACAGAUAGGGUUCAGGUCAUGCAAUCUUAGCAUUUGCGAGAGGCAGCUACAACUUGGCUUGAAUAGAUUCUCAAGGUGGGCGGACGAGAAUGGUUUCAAAUUGAACCCCCAAAAGAGCACAUGUGUCCUGUUUUCAAACAAGAGAGGUGUACUACCACAACCCGAUAUUAACCUUAAUGGAGAAAGACUAACUUUCAGCCCUGAACACAAAUUCUUAGGUGUUAUCCUCGACACAAGACUUAACUUCAUUCCCCAUCUAAAAUAUCUUAAAGAAAAGUGCCUGAAGACCAUGAACCUCCUCAAGCUGCUCUCUCGAACAACCUGGGGCAGUGACAGGAAGUGUCUGCUUAGCCUGUAUAAGUCUCGUACAAUCACGCCUCGACUAUGGAGCCGUGGUGUACCACUCGGCAACUGAAAGUGCGCUAAAGAUUCUCGACCCAGUCCACAACCUCGGUAUACGACUGGCAACAGGCGCCUUUAGAACUAGCCCUGUUGGAAGUCUGUACGUUGAGGCCAACGAAUGGUCCUUACACCAACGCAGAACAUUCCUAAGUUUUUCAUACUACACUAAGGUAAAAUCAGACACCGAGCAUCCAUGUCAUUCCAUAGUUAGCGACCUGUCCGCUUCCAGACUUUACAUUAACCGCCCACAUAUUAGAACUCCUUAGAGCCUACGCUUGGAAGCAAUGGCAGAAGAAACAGACAUCCAUAUCCCAGAAAAUAUCCUGAUGCCUCCCACUCACCUUCCACCUCCUUGGGAAUGGCAGACCAUGCAAUGCGAUAUCUCUUUUGUCGAAAUAACAAAACAUGCACCAGAGGUACACUUACGGUCACACUUCUGCGAACUGCAAGUGAAGUACUGCUGUGCCGAGUUAUAUACAGAUGCUUCCAAGUCAUCUGCAGGUGUCGCGUAUGCAGCUCUUGGGCCAUUUUUUUCCACCUCCGGUACUCUAAAUCCCAACACAAGUAUUUUUACGGCUGAAGGGUACGCAAUACUUUCAGCUGUAAAGCACAUCAGACAUACAAACCUGCAUAAGGCGAUCAUCUUCACAGAUUCAUUAAGCGUAGUAAGGGCCUUAAUGAGUUUUCGAAAACAUAAAAACCCUGUUUUUGAUAAACUAUACACAGAACUAUGCUUAGCCUUAACAUACAACCAAAAUAUAGUCCUGUGUUGGGUACCUGGCCAUAGGGGCAUAAAAGGUUAUGUAGCUGCUGACGAAAGUGCAACGUCAGUCGCCUUUAAUCAAACGGAUGUGAAUAUACCCAUACCAGUCACAGAACUUAAGCCCUUCUUACGCCACAAACUGAGGAAACACUGGCAGGACCAAUGGGAUAAUGCAGUAGAGAAUAAGCUACACGUCAUCAAACCAAAAUUAGGGAACUGGAUAUCUGAAAGAACAGCAAGACAUAAGGAAGUGCUUUGUAGGUUAAGAAUAGGACAUACUUAUGCCACUCACUCUUACCUUUUGACGGGAAGCGAACCUCCGACAUGUACCAAAUGUGGCAAGAGGCUUACAGUUAUCCAUGUUCUUAUCCAAUGCACUGAAAUAGAGGCAGAAAGGAAAAAGUACUUUCCGUCUGCUUAUCUCCAACACAUACCGUUACACCCAGCAUUUUUUCUGAGCAAUGAGCCCCUUUUUACUUUUCAAUCAGUAUUAAACUUUCUAACUGAAACGGACACCUUACAUGUGAUUUGGCCAGGCUACUUGUAGCACGGUCUCCACCUGGAGGUCGUAGCUGCAACGAACCCAUUUUCUAGAGCACGUGUCUCCCAGCCCUUGCUUUCAAGGCCUUGCUGAGGCACUAAUGCUAGAGACAUUACAUGUUUUACUGAUCAUCCCUCAUCUCGUGAAACAUCUAUUGUCAUCGCAGACACGAUCAAUCACUGUCAUAUUUUUAUACUUGUAUUUUACGCACUUCAGAGCAAAUUUUAGGUCCUUUUACAGCCAUAUUGCACCACAUGCACAUUUUUCACUUUUUAGUGAAUAUUUUAGGCCACUAUACAGCCGUGUUUCAUUAAUCCCCGCAAUUAACACCCAUAUAUCAUUGAAAAGCACGGAUCAUCGACUUGGCGCUUUUUGGCCACAUCUGGCCCUUGCGCCAAAAAACUCUACUAAUUAAUAAAAUCAACCUGUGAUGGUUUUACAGAUGUGAAUAAUAGUGGUCAGGACACGGUACUUGCGAUGUAUAGUUGAAUUUAUACAGUGCCGAGACAUAGGCUGUAUACGUACCAAAAGAAAUUUGUCAUUAUAUUGUGAUAAUUACUGUUUGGAUUUUAUUAAACUAAUAAAAUUCUUUCUUG
Dermacentor albipictus is the source of this 5033-nucleotide non-coding RNA. Lineage: Eukaryota; Metazoa; Arthropoda; Arachnida; Ixodida; Ixodidae. The record is from RefSeq and is a predicted model, not a curated record.